This 696-nucleotide long non-coding RNA is filed under the name Marmota monax (woodchuck). Lineage: Eukaryota; Metazoa; Chordata; Mammalia; Rodentia; Sciuridae. The record is from RNAcentral.
AAAUAUUCAAAAGCUCUAGCAGUUAAAGAAAUUUCAAUUAAAACUAAGUGUAGGGCUAUGGUUGUAGCUCAGUGGCACAGCACUUACCUAGCGUGUGUGAGGCACCACAUAUAAAUAAAUAAAAUAAAGAUUUAUUAACAACUAAAUUUUUUUAAACUACACUGAUAUUUCAUCACAUUUCAGUCAGAAUGGCAAUUAUCAAGAAUACAAGCAACAAUAAAUUUUGGCAAGGAUGUGAAGGGAAGGGCAUACUCAUACAUUGAUGAUAAAACUGCAAAUUGGUGCAACCACUCUGGAAAGCAGUAUGGAGAUUCAUCAGAAAACUUAGAAUGGAACCACCAUUUGACUCAGUUAUCCCACCCAAAGGACUUAUAUUCGGCAAACUACAAUGAUGCAGCCUCAUCUAUAUUUAUAUCAAAUUAAUUCACAAUAGCUAAACUACAGAACCAGCCUGGGUGCCCUUUAAUGGAUGAAUGGAUAAAGAAAGUGUGAUCUAUAUACAUGAUGGAAUACUACUCAGCCAUAAAGAGAAAUUAAAUUAUGGCAUUUGCCAGUAAAUAGAUGGAAGUGGAGACUAUCAUGCUAAGUGAAAUAAACCAAUCCCCAAAAUCAAAGGCCCAAUAUUCUCUCUGAUAUGGAGAUGCUAAACUCACAAUAAAGGGAGGUAAGAAAGAAUAGAAGUAGCUUGGAUUAGAC